AUUGAACGCUGGCGGCAGGCCUAACACAUGCAAGUCGAACGGUAUCAGGAAACAGCUUGCUGUUUCGCUGACGAGUGGCGGACGGGUGAGUAAUGUCUGGGAAACUGCCUGAUGGAGGGGGAUAACUACUGGAAACGGUAGCUAAUACCGCAUAACGUCGCAAGACCAAAGAGGGGGACCUGCGGGCCUCUUGACAGCGGAUGUGCCCAGAUGGGAUUAGCUAGUAGGUGGGGUAACGGCUCACCUAGGCGACGAUCCCUAGCUGGUCUGAGAGGAUGACCAGCCACACUGGAACUGAGACACGGUCCAGACUCCUACGGGAGGCAGCAGUGGGGAAUAUUGCACAAUGGGCGCAGGCCUGAUGCAGCCAUGCCGCGUGUAUGAAGAAGGCCUUCGGGUUGUAAAGUACUUUCAGCGGGGAGGAAGGGAGUAAAGUUAAUACCUUUGCUCAUUGACGUUACCCGCAGAAGAAGCACCGGCUAACUCCGUGCCAGCCGCCGCCGUAA
This 506-nucleotide ribosomal RNA is filed under the name uncultured bacterium. RNAcentral describes it as "partial 16S ribosomal RNA". It matches the Rfam family "Bacterial small subunit ribosomal RNA", at positions 30 to 523 of the family's 1533-position model. The record is from RNAcentral.